UACGAAGGGGGCUAGCGUUGUUCGGAAUUACUGGGCGUAAAGCGCACGUAGGCGGAUAUUUAAGUCAGGGGUGAAAUCCCAGAGCUCAACUCUGGAACUGCCUUUGAUACUGGGUAUCUCGAGUAUGGAAGAGGUGAGUGGAAUUCCGAGUGUAGAGGUGAAAUUCGUAGAUAUUCGGAGGAACACCAGUGGCGAAGGCGGCUCACUGGUCCAUUACUGACGCUGAGGCGCGAAAGCCAGGGGAGCAAACGGG
Molecule: ribosomal RNA, 253 nt
Filed under: uncultured bacterium
Lineage: Bacteria
Description: partial 16S ribosomal RNA
Rfam family: Bacterial small subunit ribosomal RNA
Source: RNAcentral